This is a long non-coding RNA of Haliotis rufescens (red abalone), 1080 nucleotides long. RefSeq lists it as uncharacterized. NCBI's taxonomy places the organism in Eukaryota, Metazoa, Mollusca, Gastropoda, Lepetellida, Haliotidae. The transcript has 3 exons. The record is from RefSeq and is a predicted model, not a curated record.
UGUGUUGAUCGUUCGUGUUUACGCUUGGCUGUCGACUGAAAAGUGACGCUAAGCGCUAUAUUUUGAAUGAAGUUGUAGUGACAAUAUGCCGUAUUGUCUCGCAUUCGGGUGCACUUCGAGUGCUACGAAUACUUCAGGCCUUCAUUUCCAUGGAUUUCCCCGCGAUCUACCAAGAAGAAAGCUGUGGCUGGCGUAUUGUCGACGUGCUGAUGUCAAACUCAAAGACAUAAGCAAACACAGCACGUUGUGCUCCUUGCAUAUCUCGAAGAAUAAUUAUGAACGGGAUCCCGAGUUCAUGGCACAGUAUGGCUACACGAAAGCUAAACCCAAGCUUUUUAAGCAUGCCGUACCGGACAUUCCCCUGGCUAUCGACGGCACGAGCAAGAAUGUCACCAAAAGUGCCACGUUCACCGAGAGGGGGGCUUUUUCAGGAGCGACGACGGUUAGAACAAAUAGAAGAUCUGAAAGAAGCAUAUGAUAGUUUCAAAGCAACUUAAGAUUGUGGACAGUCCGGAGGUACAGAUAUUCAACAUAUAUCAACAUUCGAGCCUGUUCAAACUUGUGUUCAGUCUGGCAGUGGAAAACACCAUUUCGAGUGUCAGGUGUCAUUGGCAGUUCCCAAGGCAAAAAUACAUCUUCGCACAAGACGGAUUCAGACAUUACCCGUCCGAAGACUCACAAGAUGCAUUCAGGCAAGACCGUGGCUGUACAGUGUGACCUGUACAAGAGGAGUGAGAUUGUGUUUAAAGAGGACAUAGAGGAAGAUAAGGCUGAGGAAACAAUCCAGAUUACUUCCCCAACACCAAUCCUGGUGAAAGAACUGAAAUCAUAUGUGUCUGAUGUAUUAAGAAGGUCUAUAGUACUUGAACCCUGCCACUUCUCCAGAUGGAAUGUAUUCCCUUGAUGAAAGAACAUUGGGCGUUCUGCCCCAGGCUCGCACCCACUGACCCCAAGCACGGAGGCAUGACAAUCUAAAUGACGUUACGCUAUAGACAGAUCAACGGUUACACAUUCAAACAUCGGUCUUUUAAGUAUCAAAAUCUGUAGAAUAGUAUGUAUGAAAUUCCUUUGAAAUAGUGA